This 640-nucleotide ribosomal RNA is filed under the name uncultured fungus. RNAcentral describes it as "eukaryotic LSU rRNA". It matches the Rfam family "Eukaryotic large subunit ribosomal RNA", at positions 32 to 658 of the family's 3401-position model. The record is from RNAcentral. Lineage: Eukaryota; Fungi.
ACUUAAGCAUAUCAAUAAGCGGAGGAAAAGAAACUAACAAGGAUUCCCCUAGUAACUGCGAGUGAAGAGGGAAAAGCUCAAAUUUAAAAUCUGGCAGUUUCACUGUCCGAGUUGUAAUUUAGAGAAGUGUUACCCGUGUUGAGCCGUGUACAAGUCUCCUGGAAUGGAGCGUCAUAGAGGGUGAGAAUCCCGUCUUUGACACGGAUUUCAAUACAUUGUGGUGCGCUCUCGAAGAGUCGAGUUGUUUGGGAAUGCAGCUCUAAAUGGGUGGUAAAUUCCAUCUAAAGCUAAAUAUUGGGGAGAGACCGAUAGCGAACAAGUACCGUGAGGGAAAGAUGAAAAGAACUUUGGAAAGAGAGUUAAACAGUACGUGAAAUUGCUGAAAGGGAAACGCUUGAAGUCAGUCGCGUUAGCUGGGGAUCAGCCUUCCUUUUGGUUGGUGUACUUCCUAGUUGACGGGUCAACAUCRGUUUUGACCAGUGGAUAAGAGCUUGAGGAAUGUGGCAUCUUCGGGUGUGUUAUAGCCUCUUGUUGUAUACAUUGGUUGGGACUGAGGAACUCAGCACGCCGCAAGGCCGGGUUUUUAACCACGUUCGUGCUUAGGAUGUUGGCAUAAUGGGUUUAAUCGACCCGUCUUGGG